GCUGGGUGCAGUGGCGUGUGCCUGUAGUCUCAGGUACUUGGGAGGCUGAAUGUGGAGGAUUGCUUGAGUCUAGGAGUUCGAGGCUGCAAUGAUCUAUGAUGGUGCUUGUGAAUAGCCACUGAGUCUAGCCUGGGCAACAUAGCAAGACCCUGUAUCUA
RNAcentral lists this non-coding RNA (158 nucleotides) under Nomascus leucogenys (northern white-cheeked gibbon). The record is from Rfam by way of RNAcentral. Lineage: Eukaryota; Metazoa; Chordata; Mammalia; Primates; Hylobatidae.